UGGGGAAUUUUGGACAAUGGGCGAAAGCCUGAUCCAGANGACUGCCGUGUGUGAAGAAGGCCUUCGGGUUGUAAAGCACUUUUGUCCGGAAAGAAAUCCUUGGCUCUAAUACAGUCGGGGGAUGACGGUACCGGAAGAAUAAGCACCGGCUAACUACGUGCCAGCAGCCGCGGUAAUACGUAGGGUGCAAGCGUUAAUCGGAAUUACUGGGCGUAAAGCGUGCGCAGGCGGUUUGCUAAGACCGAUGUGAAAUCCCCGGGCUCAACCUGGGAACUGCAUUGGUGACUGGCAGGCUAGAGUAUGGCAGAGGGGGGUAGAAUUCCACGUGUAGCAGUGAAAUGCGUAGAGAUGUGGAGGAAUACCGAUGGCGAAGGCAGCCCCCUGGGCCAAUACUGACGCUCAUGCACGAAAGCGUGGGGAGCAAACAGGAUUAGAUACCCUGGUAGUCCACGCCCUAAACGAUGUCAACUAGUUGUUGGGGAUUCAUUUCCUUAGUAACGUAGCUAACGCGUGAAGUUGACCGCCUGGGGAGUACGGUCGCAAGAUUAAAACUCAAAUGAAUUGACGGGGUCAUAGCUGUUUCCU
RNAcentral lists this ribosomal RNA (585 nucleotides) under uncultured bacterium. RNAcentral describes it as "partial 16S ribosomal RNA". It matches the Rfam family "Bacterial small subunit ribosomal RNA", at positions 355 to 1375 of the family's 1533-position model. The record is from RNAcentral.